CAGAGAGUGCAAACGUUGUUCGGAAUUACUGGGCUUAAAGCGCACGUAGGCGGCGUCGUAAGUGUCAGGUGAAAUCCCACGGCUCACCCGUGGAACUGCCCGGCAUACUGCGACGCUCGAGUGUGGUAGGGAAGAGCGGAACUCCUGGUGGAGCGGUGAAAUGCGUAGAUAUCAGGAGGAACACCGGUGGCGAAGGCGGCUCUUUGGUCCACAACUGACGCUGAGGUGCGAAAGCCAGGGGAGCAAACGGGAUUAGAUACCCCGGUAGUCCUGGCUGUAAACGAUGGGCACUAGCUUGGGGUCUCCCUGUGUGAUCCCAGGUGAAGUAAAAAUGAUAAGUGCCCCGCCUGGGGAGUAUGGUCGCAAGGCUG
Molecule: ribosomal RNA, 371 nt
Filed under: uncultured organism
Description: bacterial SSU rRNA
Rfam family: Bacterial small subunit ribosomal RNA
Source: RNAcentral